CUUGUCCGGAGUUCGCGAUCAAGUGGAGCGUGCACAUACAGACCUAGUAUUCAUCAAGGGCUUCCUCAAAGAUGCAGACGCAAAGCGACGAGAUGAUGAGGCUAUACGCAUUUUUGUUGCCAAAAUUAGAGAUGCUGCUUAUGAUUUGGAGGAUGUCAUUGAAGCUUUUGUCUUGAAGGUGGAUUCCAAGAUGAAAGGAGGUAUAAAGAAUGUUUUGAAGAGGUUGGGGUGCAUCUUCGUUGAAGGAGCUCGCCGUCACAAGAUUGGGUCAGAACUUGGGGUUAUUACUAUCACGAUUUCUCAUCUGAGGGAGAACUUACAAGCUUAUGGUAUGUUAAGAGUUCUAAGUCACAGUGGAGGAGCCACUUCCAUUCCAUCACAAGAUCAGAAGCAGCAACAACUGAGGCGAACUUACACUCAUGUUAUUGAUCGUAAUGUGGUCGGGCUAGAGGAGUCUGUCCAUGAAUUGGUUGGGCAUUUGGUGAAGGAAGAGCAUCGCCACCGAGUUGUUUCUAUUAUUGGGAUGGGCGGAUCUGGGAAGACAACUAUUGCUAAACAAGUUUAUCAUCACAAAGAGGUAACAGACCAUUUCGAAUGUUUGGCUUGGGUUUGUAUAUCUCAACAAUAUCAAGUCAGGGAUGUCUUGGAGAGGAUUUAUGUCAAACUUCUUUGCCCCACAAAAGAGAAGAGAGAAGAAAUCAAAAAUUUGAAUGAUGACGAAAUACCAGGGAGGCUUUCUCGUCUCCAAAUUGAAAAAAAAAUGUUUGAUUGUCCUUGAUGACAUUUGGAAAAGAGAGACCUGGGACUUUUUGAAGGCUGCAUUUGAAUGCCAUGAAGACUCAGAGAGCAGGAUACUACUUACGACACGCAAUGAACAAGUAGCUUCGCAUGCCGAUGAGAACGGUUUUCACUACCGACCUCCACCACUGAAUGAGUCUGAGAGUUGGAAGCUGUUUGAGAAGAUUGCAAUGAGUGGAAGGAAAGCUGGAAUAGGUAGUUUCUCGAUUCACCACCCAACUAGAUCCAUCCUUUAUCGUUCGUUUUCUUUUUUAUUUAUCAAAAAUUCAAUAUACAUUGAACCAAUAAAUGGAAAAAAAAUUGCCUUGCAUCUGGUACUCCCGGCUUCCUAUAAAUUCAUAUCCAAAGAAGUUCUCAUUUUUCAUGACACAUAUAUCAUAUUUUUCUAAAAUUAAAGUCUGAAAAUGUCUUGUGGAAGAUGCUUGAAUACAUUCAAAGACUCUAGUGGACUUGGAUAUUUCCCUAUGUCUACUCAAAAAAAGGGAAAGCAACACUACUAUAUCUUCGUCAUAUAAACAUCCAAAAUUUAUAAUCUUGAUAACUUAUGUAUCACCAAUGAGUAAGAUUCGAAGACUUGCCGUCUACUUGGAUGAGAAUGAUGAUAAAUUGGUACCCUCACUUGGGGAAAGAGGUAGACACAUCACUUAAGGAAACUGAGAAUAAUAUUGUCAUCUAGCCAAUCGAAAAAUCUGGAGAAAAUCUUGGAUGCGGCAGGCUGCGUGCUCAACGGUAUCCGGUCCCUGCGGUUGGACAACCAUGUUGGAAUGGAAAGCGGUGCAGAGGUUAGUCAAAUAGUUGCAAGUUGCGGUCAAAUAUACAAGUUGGAGCUGUUUGGGCCCACACUAGAACUACCGAAAGAGUUCCACUCCCAUUCAAACCUCACCAAGUUACUUUUGUCUGGAGAAGCUGCCCAACCUGAAAAGUCUUGAUCUGCAGUUCAAUGUGUUUGAGGAAAAUACAAAAGUAUUGGUUUUCUCCGCUGGAAGCUUUCCUCGUCUUCAGUUUCUAACCCUUGGGAAUUUGGAAGGAAUAACGGAGUGGAGGGUGGAGGAAGGAGCCAUGCCUUGUCUCUGCAAAUUGCUCAUUGGCUUUUGCAAUGAAUUGAGUACGGUUCCAGAUGGGCUGAGACACCUUACUACCCUCAAGGAAUUGAAGAUUGUGGGUAUGCCUAAACUAUUCUGUAGUAAGCUUGAGGAAGGAGGAGAAGACUUCCAUAAAGUCCAACACAUCCCUUCCCUUAUGAAUCCGAUGAAUUAAAAGAGUGACCAUGCCUGUACCAGCACGUAGGCCCACAAUGUACAGCUUCUGUUUGAGGAAAAUCUCCUGCAUUCAAACAUAUCUAUCAAAAUGGCUAUACAAUUUUAUCAGAUUCUGCUUGUCAUUGCAAGAAAGAUGGAUGAUUUUCACAGAGCAACUUCAAGAUCUAUGGGGAUUAAUUGAAGGCAAACCAAGUGAGCUGACAAGACGGGUCGACGGUUCCCAUGAGUUGAGAACUGGAAAGUUUUUCUACUACUUGUGGUGUUACUGAAUAAAUUGAAAUCUGUGCAGCUUUGUUAGAAAUGUUUUUCUUAUAUUUUUUCUUGGAUUGCUGUAUUUGUGUGCUUCCUAUUUAGACUUGUUCCACUGGAUAAUGAGCAAGACAUUGAGAGGUUUAUGUUGUUGCCUUGUUGGACAUAUGAUUGUCGUCUGAUAUAAAAUGCCUAUGGCUUUUAUUGUUUC
Molecule: long non-coding RNA, 2517 nt
Organism: Rosa rugosa (rugosa rose)
Lineage: Eukaryota; Viridiplantae; Streptophyta; Magnoliopsida; Rosales; Rosaceae
Exons: 3
Source: RefSeq, a predicted model, not a curated record